GACGAACGCUGGCGGCGUGCUUAACACAUGCAAGUCGAACGGUGAAGCUCCAGCUUGCUGGAGUGGAUCAGUGGCGAACGGGUGAGUAACACGUGAGCAACCUGCCCCUGACUCUGGAAUAAGCGCUGGAAACGGCGUCUAAUACUGGAUACGAGAAGGGUCCGCAUGGGCACUUUCUGGAAAGUUUUUCGGUUGGGGAUGGGCUCGCGGCCUAUCAGCUUGUUGGUGAGGUAAUGGCUCACCAAGGCGACGACGGGUAGCCGGCCUGAGAGGGCGACCGGCCACACUGGGACUGAGACACGGCCCAGACUCCUACGGGAGGCAGCAGUGGGGAAUAUUGCACAAUCGGCGAAAGCCUGAUGCAGCGACGCCGCGUGAGGGAUGACGGCCUUCGGGUUGUAAACCUCUUUCAGCAGGGAAGAAGCGAAAGUGACGGUACCUGCAGAAGAAGCACCGGCUAACUACGUG
RNAcentral lists this ribosomal RNA (468 nucleotides) under uncultured bacterium. RNAcentral describes it as "partial 16S ribosomal RNA". It matches the Rfam family "Bacterial small subunit ribosomal RNA", at positions 28 to 507 of the family's 1533-position model. The record is from RNAcentral.